Molecule: ribosomal RNA, 53 nt
Filed under: Campylopus lamellatus
Lineage: Eukaryota; Viridiplantae; Streptophyta; Bryopsida; Dicranales; Leucobryaceae
Description: partial 5.8S ribosomal RNA
Rfam family: 5.8S ribosomal RNA
About the family: 5.8S ribosomal RNA (5.8S rRNA) is a component of the large subunit of the eukaryotic ribosome. It is transcribed by RNA polymerase I as part of the 45S precursor that also contains 18S and 28S rRNA. Functionally, it is thought that 5.8S rRNA may be involved in ribosome translocation.
Source: RNAcentral
CAACAACUCUCAGCAACGGAUAUCUUGGCUCCUGCAACGAUGAAGAACGCAGC